UUGGAGGGCAAGUCUGGUGCCAGCAGCCGCGGUAAUUCCAGCUCCAAUAGCGUAUAUUAAAGUUGUCGCAGUUAAAAAGCUCGUAGUUGAAUUUCGGGAUCAAAUAAUCGGUCGUGCCUCCGGUACGUACUGGUUUUAUUGGUUCCUCCCUUCUGACGAACCAUGAUGUCAUUAAUUUGAUGUGGUGGAGAAUCAGGACUGUUACCUUGAAAAAAUUAGAGUGUUUAAAGCAGGCUAACGCUUGAAUACAUUAGCAUGGAAUAAUGAAAUAGGACGUUCGACCCUAUUUUGUUGGUUUCUAGGAUCGACGUAAUGAUUAAUAGGAAUAGUUGGGGGCAUUAGUAUUCAAUUGUCAGAGGUGAAAUUCUUGGAUUUAUUGAAGACUAACUACUGCGAAAGCAUUUGCCAAGGAUGUUUUCAUUAAUCAAGAACGAAAGUUAGGGGAUCGAAGACGAUCAGAUACCGUCGUAGUCUUAACCAUAAACUAUGCCGACUAGGGAUCGGAUGAUGUUAAUUUUUUAAUGACUCGUUCGGCGCCUUACGGGAAAC
Molecule: ribosomal RNA, 549 nt
Filed under: uncultured Glomus
Lineage: Eukaryota; Fungi; Glomeromycota; Glomeromycetes; Glomerales; Glomeraceae
Description: SSU rRNA
Rfam family: Eukaryotic small subunit ribosomal RNA
Source: RNAcentral